RNAcentral lists this signal recognition particle RNA (262 nucleotides) under Lachnospiraceae bacterium. RNAcentral's name for it is "signal recognition particle sRNA large type". It matches the Rfam family "Bacterial large signal recognition particle RNA". Rfam says of the family: The signal recognition particle (SRP) is a universally conserved ribonucleoprotein involved in the co-translational targeting of proteins to membranes. Archaeal SRP consists of a 7S RNA and homologues of the eukaryotic SRP19 and SRP54 proteins. Lineage: Bacteria; Bacillati; Bacillota; Clostridia; Lachnospirales; Lachnospiraceae. The record is from RNAcentral.
CCGUGCAGCCGGGGAGUUAGCGGUGCCCUGUACCUGCAAUCCGCUUAGCAGGGGUGUUGUCUCAUGGAGGGUCGGCUCGGGAUGAGCUGCCCGCAGUAAGUGGCGUUGAAGUUUGGGUCCUGUGCAACGGAGACUCGUGAACCGUGUCAGGUCGGGAACGAAGCAGCACUAAGCGAUGCUUUCCGUGUGUCGUGGGGAAGCCUGGACUGAGCUUACUGCUGCGGUAACGUCAGUCCGAACCGAUUCGAAGUGGGACGCACGG